RNAcentral lists this long non-coding RNA (228 nucleotides) under Phoenix dactylifera (date palm). RNAcentral's name for it is "long non-coding RNA (PDAC_LNC012430)". Lineage: Eukaryota; Viridiplantae; Streptophyta; Magnoliopsida; Arecales; Arecaceae. The record is from RNAcentral.
GAUGGGUGGGUAGAUCUGUAUGAUGGUCCUGGUCAUGGUCAGAGGCAGGAGAGUGAUGAAUGGUUGGGUCAGAUGAAGUGGAUGGUCUCCGUACCCAGACUCCCUCUACUCUAUGGAAUCCCAUCCGAUGAAGGGUUCCCUCACCCAUGCGAUCUGUAAACCGCAGUGAGCGAGAGGGUUCCCCCUCAGGAAUGGGGACCUCUAACUCCCUAAAUAUCAGGGUGAACA